RNAcentral lists this ribosomal RNA (255 nucleotides) under uncultured bacterium. RNAcentral's name for it is "partial 16S ribosomal RNA". It matches the Rfam family "Bacterial small subunit ribosomal RNA", at positions 524 to 776 of the family's 1533-position model. The record is from RNAcentral.
UACGAAGGGGGCUAGCGUUGCUCGGAAUCACUGGGCGUAAAGGGUGCGUAGGCGGGUCUUUAAGUCAGGGGUGAAAUCCUGGAGCUCAACUCCAGAACUGCCUUUGAUACUGAAGAUCUUGAGUUCGGGAGAGGUGAGUGGAACUGCGAGUGUAGAGGUGAAAUUCGUAGAUAUUCGCAAGAACACCAGUGGCGGAAGGCGGCUCACUGGCCCGAUACUGACGCUGAGGCACGAAAGCGUGGGGGAGCAAACAGG